CCAGACUCCUACGGGAGGCAGCAGUGGGGAAUAUUGCACAAUGGGGGGAACCCUGAUGCAGCGACGCCGCGUGGGUGAAGGAGCACCUCGGUGCGUAAAGCCCUAUCGGCAGGGAAGAAACAGACGGUACCUGACUAAGAAGCCCCGGCUAACUACGUGCCAGCAGCCGCGGUCAUACGUAGGGGGCAAGCGUUAUCCGGAUUCACUGGGUGUAAAGGGAGCGUAGACGGCGACGCGAGUCUGGAGUGAAAGCCCGGGGCCCAACCCCGGGACUGCUCUUGGAACUGCGUGGCUGGAGUGCAGGAGGGGCAGGCGGAAUUCCUGGUGUAGCGGUGAAAUGCGUAGAUAUCAGGAGGAACACCGGUGGCGAAGGCGGCUUACUGGACAGUGACUGACGUUGAGGCUCGAAAGCGUGGGGAGCGAACAGGAUUAGAUACCCGGGUACC
RNAcentral lists this ribosomal RNA (446 nucleotides) under uncultured bacterium. RNAcentral's name for it is "partial 16S ribosomal RNA". It matches the Rfam family "Bacterial small subunit ribosomal RNA", at positions 331 to 794 of the family's 1533-position model. The record is from RNAcentral.